GACCUGAACCUAUGGUCUACAUCCUGAGAGGGAUGAUAUGGAACUAGAAGGUACAGGACAACCUUCACACAGAAGGGAUGAAUAGCUCACCAGAGUGACAUCGACUCUGAGGUGGUGACAGCAUUUCUGAAGAACUGUGCUUGUCAUAACGUGUUGGAAAGUGUCAGACUACACCAAGAAAAGGUUUGUCAUUUAGAUAAUUAAAGAAAAAUGUUUCUUGAAUCUAACAAUUAUAUCUCACUUUACAGAGUUUUGCACCUAAAGAUUAACAUUGAGGAUGAUGCAGGAGCCAUGGACGUCCUGGAUGAAAAUACAAUUAUUUUAUGUUCUCA
This is a long non-coding RNA of Perca fluviatilis (European perch), 332 nucleotides long. RefSeq lists it as uncharacterized. NCBI's taxonomy places the organism in Eukaryota, Metazoa, Chordata, Actinopteri, Perciformes, Percidae. The record is from RefSeq and is a predicted model, not a curated record. The transcript is spliced from 3 exons.